ACAAAAGUGAGGCAACUGGAGCAAUGGAUGUGAAGGAGGAUGGUGAGGAGUUUGCAGACGAGGGUACUAGUAUUUAUGGAUGACUCGAAGUGGUGGGAGCAAAAGCAAGGGAGGGAAGCCGUAUUCUUGUAAUUUCAAGAGAGGGUUGAUCUCAUAGAGGAGGAGGGAGAACAUCAUGGUGGGUGAGGCCAAGGCAAAGGAGGGAGAGCAUUUGGCAAGUAGAGCUAGAACCUAUUUAGGUUUCUAUACAGCUAGGCCUAGCACAGAAAUGAGAACCAUUUUUUUUUUCAAAAUCCUAGCCCAAACAAGUCCAAAAGGAGAAAGAGCAGGAGGGGAGAAAGAUAGAGUAGGAGAGAGGAGAGAGGAUGUGAGAUCAAAUGGAGAGAGAAACAAGAGAGGGGAGAGAUAGGAGAGGAGAGAGAUCGAAGAGAGGGAAGAGAGAUAUCGAGAAGGAGAGAGAGAGAGGAGGAGGGGAGAGAGACCAGGAUGGGGAAAGGAAGAGAGGAGAGAAAAUGGAGAGUGGAGAGAGAGAUCAGAUGGAAAAGAGAAGAGGGAAAAAAGAUCAAUAGGGAGAGAGAGGAUAAAAGAGAGAGAGUGACAAGGGGAAAG
This 609-nucleotide long non-coding RNA is filed under the name Elaeis guineensis (African oil palm). RNAcentral describes it as "long non-coding RNA (EGUI_LNC018930)". The record is from RNAcentral. Lineage: Eukaryota; Viridiplantae; Streptophyta; Magnoliopsida; Arecales; Arecaceae.